This is a long non-coding RNA of Teleopsis dalmanni, 360 nucleotides long. RefSeq lists it as uncharacterized. The record is from RefSeq and is a predicted model, not a curated record. The transcript has 3 exons. Lineage: Eukaryota; Metazoa; Arthropoda; Insecta; Diptera; Diopsidae.
UUAUAGAAUAAGUUUCUCAAAAUUUUAGGUUUUAUUUAUUUUUUAGUUAAAAUAUAUGCAAAUGUUAAUAUAAUACGAGUAUGCAAAUGAAGUUAAAAUUGCUUGGCGAUUACUAAGAUCUCACUUUGCAAAAAACAGCGACUAUACACACACUUAAUAUGCAAUAUAAAUCUUUAAAAUGUUAAAUUAUUUUGACGCCUUAAGGUGUAAGACUAUUUAAGAAAAUUAAAAGUUCGAAAUUGGUUAAUUAAUCUGAUAUUCAUUAGAAAUUCAAGUGCGAUAUGAGAGACACUAAUGACAUUCAAAAUUAAGCUCUUUAUGUUUACUUAAUGUGUUAUUUGUUUCCUGUUUCCUAGAGUG